Molecule: non-coding RNA, 66 nt
Filed under: uncultured Azonexus sp.
Lineage: Bacteria; Pseudomonadati; Pseudomonadota; Betaproteobacteria; Rhodocyclales; Azonexaceae
Description: S-adenosyl-L-homocysteine riboswitch
Rfam family: SAH (S-adenosyl-L-homocysteine) riboswitch aptamer
Source: RNAcentral
UGCCGAGGAGCGCUGCGACCCUUCCAUUCAAGGGGCCAGGCUCGGCAACGAUCAACGGCGCUCGCA